AUCGUUUACCGUGAAAAAAUUAGAGUGUUCAAAGCAGGCAGAUCCAAUUUUCUGCCACCGAAUACAUUAGCAUGGGAUAAUGGAAUAGGACCCUGUCCUCCUAUUUUCAGUUGGUUUGCCGCGAGGACCAGGGUAAUGAUUAAUAGGGAUAGUUGGGGGCAUUAAUAUUUAAUUGUCAGAGGUGAAAUUCUUGGAUUUAUGAAAGAUUAACUUCUGCGAAAGCAUCUGCCAAGGAUGUUUUCAUUAAUCAAGAACGAAAGUUAGGGGAUCGAAGACGAUCAGAUACCGUCGUAGUCUUAACCAUAAACGAUGCCGACCAGCGAUUAGGAGACGUUGAAUACAAAACACCACCAUGCGACAUUGCGGUCGUCUUUGGUGUCGCUCACAAGGCGACACCGGGGCGCUAGCUCGUCAUGGCCCUCCCCGUGAG
RNAcentral lists this ribosomal RNA (430 nucleotides) under Acanthamoeba sp. AVL-18. RNAcentral's name for it is "SSU rRNA". It matches the Rfam family "Eukaryotic small subunit ribosomal RNA", at positions 747 to 1102 of the family's 1831-position model. The record is from RNAcentral. Lineage: Eukaryota; Discosea; Longamoebia; Acanthamoebidae.